This 418-nucleotide RNase P RNA is filed under the name Cytophagales bacterium. RNAcentral describes it as "RNase P RNA component class A". It matches the Rfam family "Bacterial RNase P class A". From Rfam's summary of the family: Ribonuclease P (RNase P) is a ubiquitous endoribonuclease, found in archaea, bacteria and eukarya as well as chloroplasts and mitochondria. Its best characterised activity is the generation of mature 5'-ends of tRNAs by cleaving the 5'-leader elements of precursor-tRNAs. Lineage: Bacteria; Pseudomonadati; Bacteroidota; Cytophagia; Cytophagales. The record is from RNAcentral.
CUUGCAAGCUGCCCAAUCGCUCUCCCGGUAUAGGGAGUGAGGAAAGUCCGGGCAACGUAGGGCAUCGUACUUCCUAACGGGAAGGGUCUCGCCCCGGCGAGGUACAGACAGUGCCGCAGAAAAUAUACCGCCUCAACACGUUGGGGUAAGGGUGAAAUGGUGAGGUAAGAGCUCACCGCAGUGCGGGUGACCGUACUGGCAGGGUAAACCUUACGAGUUGAAAGACCAAAUAGGCUGGUAGUAGGUUCGUGAAACCUCGGGGGGCGGCUCGUUCCCCAGGCUGUUUAUACAGCCGACGCCGGUGGGUAGGUCGAUAGAGCCUAAGGGUGACCUUAGGCCCAGAUAAAUGAUUGGGAUUCUGUGUGGCGGCAUGCUGCUCUCAGAAUGACAGAACCCGGCUUAUAGGCUUGCAAAAAAU